GUUUGAGAGCGGGCGGUUGCUGCUUAUAUAGGAGAGGAAAGUCCGGGCUCCACGAAGAGAGGAUGUCAGUUAACGGCUGGCGAGGAAACUCAGGGAAAGUGCCACAGAAAAAAUACCGCCAACAUGUCUGUUGGUAAGGGUGAAAUGGCGAGGUAAAAGCUCACCGUGCUUUUGGAAACGAAGGCAGCAGGGCAAACCCCAUCCGGAGCAAGAUCGAAUAGGAACAUUUUAGGUAUAUACCUCUGUGACUCUUCGCGCAGAUAAUGUUCGGGUUGAUCGCUUGAGACCUGUGGUGACAUAGGUCCUAGAGGAAUAACCGCCGCUGCGCAAGCAGUACAGAACCCGGCUUACAGCUCUCGGCCGAGC
RNAcentral lists this RNase P RNA (366 nucleotides) under Holosporales bacterium. Its description in RNAcentral is "RNase P RNA component class A". It matches the Rfam family "Bacterial RNase P class A". From Rfam's summary of the family: Ribonuclease P (RNase P) is a ubiquitous endoribonuclease, found in archaea, bacteria and eukarya as well as chloroplasts and mitochondria. Its best characterised activity is the generation of mature 5'-ends of tRNAs by cleaving the 5'-leader elements of precursor-tRNAs. Lineage: Bacteria; Pseudomonadati; Pseudomonadota; Alphaproteobacteria; Holosporales. The record is from RNAcentral.